This 420-nucleotide ribosomal RNA is filed under the name uncultured bacterium. RNAcentral's name for it is "partial 16S ribosomal RNA". It matches the Rfam family "Bacterial small subunit ribosomal RNA", at positions 362 to 774 of the family's 1533-position model. The record is from RNAcentral.
UAUUGGACAAUGGGGGCAAGCCUGAUCCAGCCAUGCCGAGUGUGUGAAGAAGGUCUUCGGAUUGUAAAGCACAUUAAGUUGGGAGGAAGGGCUUUAGGGUAAUACCCUGAAGUUUUGACGUUACCAACGGAAUAAGCACCGGCUAACUCAGGCCAAGCAGCCGCGGUAAUACAGAGGUUGCAAGCGUUAAUCGGAAUUACUGGGCGUAAAGCUGGCGUAGGUGGUUCAGUAAGAUGGGUGUGCAAUCCCCGGGCUUAACCUGGGAACUGCUUUCAUAACUGCUGAGCUAGAGUACGGUAGCGGGUAGUGGAAUUUCCUGUGUAGCGGUGAAAUGCGUAGAUAUAGGAAGGAACACCAGUGGCGAAGGCGACUACCUGGACUGAUACUGACACUGAGGUGCGAAAGCGUGGGGAGCAAACA